RNAcentral lists this unclassified non-coding RNA (658 nucleotides) under Leishmania donovani. RNAcentral describes it as "gene:unknown". The record is from RNAcentral. Lineage: Eukaryota; Euglenozoa; Kinetoplastea; Trypanosomatida; Trypanosomatidae.
CUCUUUUUUUCUCUGCCUUUUCUUUCUUUCCCCUACACCCUUGCCUCCUCCCUCCCUCUCCUGUCCUCUCUCGCGCCCCACUCCCACUCCCCCUCCACAAAUGCGCCAUUCUUUAUGUAACGGGUGGCACAGGGGGUGCUUCGAGAAACGAGGGGAAGAGGAAAGGGUCGGCAGUCGUGGGCGCACGCGUGUUGGCCGUCCCUGUAUCGGUGAAAGUAUUUUUUUUUGACUAAUCUGAAGGUGCAUAUAGUUGCUUUUCCUUCCGUGUGUGUGGUUAGGGGAACCGGCUUCGUCAUUUUUUCUUCAGCGGGCAAAUACAGAAGCGCGCGACGCGACGAGCGGGGGCCUCCUCCAUUCCUGGGCAGCGGUAGCGUGGGCGUGGAGCCGUGGAGCGCCGCCUUGUGUGGUUUCCACAGAGCAGGGAUUGAGGCGGACACAUGUGGUCGCUACAGACGCAGAGAGAGAAAAACUCUUCAUGGGCGGCCUCUGCGACAAAGUCGGUACUCGGCAAAGACAUGAUUGACCAGUUUUUCGUUGGGCUAACACCCUCUCCACCUGCUCGCUGUCAUUUUUGCUUGGCCACCUCUCCCCUCCUUCUCUCCGUCAUUCACUCUAUGCCUGCCUGUUGCUGUGCGUUACCUCGUGUGUCGCCGCAUAG